UUUUGGUCCGACUCUCCUUCACACCUAGAAAACCGUAACAAUAAGCUUGGAUAAAGAAAUGCUAUGCUAUGACUGAAUUCAAACGAUUUCAGAGCUGUGCAAACCUACAGCUGAGCUAAGGGAUUAAUCCCAGAAGCGAAAGAAACGAAGGAAAUGGUUUGAGUUUGGGCCUAAACUUGGCCCUCAUUGGGGAAAAAAACAUUACUGUCUUGCACUCCCCACUCCUUUAUUGCACAUCGGUGGAAAAUCCAUUUCACCAUGAGAGUGAAAUCAUGCUGGCCUUUGAUUGGGAGAACAUCCACGCCAUAGAGGACGUCCCCAUGGGACUUGGGGCUCUGCUAGGGCUGUAUUUUUUGUUUUCAGUAAAA
Oncorhynchus tshawytscha (Chinook salmon) is the source of this 368-nucleotide long non-coding RNA. RefSeq lists it as uncharacterized. Lineage: Eukaryota; Metazoa; Chordata; Actinopteri; Salmoniformes; Salmonidae. The transcript has 3 exons. The record is from RefSeq and is a predicted model, not a curated record.